RNAcentral lists this long non-coding RNA (1560 nucleotides) under Ananas comosus (pineapple). Its description in RNAcentral is "long non-coding RNA (ACOM_LNC004485)". Lineage: Eukaryota; Viridiplantae; Streptophyta; Magnoliopsida; Poales; Bromeliaceae. The record is from RNAcentral.
UAGUCAAGUAUAAUAGACUUUUUUUUGCUUUUAUCAAACAAUAUUUUACUUAUCCCCGGCUACUGAGGUUUCGUUUGAGAUUGCGGGGAGGUUUCCUUACGUAAAAUUGCGCUCCAUAUAUCGUGAUUAGUCAUAUAUUUUCUGCGAUUCUAUCGGAGAACGUAAAGGCGUAUCUUUAUAUAUUUUUACCCAACUCUAAUUUAUCUAAUAACGUUAGAUGGAUCUUAAUGCCAAAAAUACCAAACUAAGCCUAAAAAGUCUACAAUAUAUAUUAUUUAUAUCUUUAGAAAUACUAGUUGAGUAUAUGUGCAAAUACACGUAACAAUUAUUUUAAUUUAUUUUAAAUCAAUAUAAAUUUGUAAUUAUAUUUAUUUAAAAAUUUAUAAUAAAAAUUAUAUUUUAUAAAUUCAUAUGUUAUAUUUUAUUAGAAAAUAUUUGUAAUAUUCUAUCUUUUUUUAUAUACAUUAAAUAUUUUUAUAUAUUUUUUGAUUUCUGAUGGUCUAAAAUUUAAGUGCGCGUUUUAAACAAAAAGCAUCAAAAUUAAAUUCAUAUUAAUUUCAAAUUUUAAAAUUUAAUUUUGAUCCACUAUAGUUAAAAAUUUUUAAUUGUUAAUUCAAAUUUGAUAUCAAAAAUUAAAUUUAAUUCACGAUUUAAACUCAAAUUUAAAUUUUAAUGUGAAAUAAAUGUAUAGGAAUACUAUAUUUUAACAGAUUGAUAAUAACCAUUUGUUUUAUUUGAAAUAUUUUUAACGAAUUGAUCAUAAGUUCGUAGAAUUAGAUUUAUAGAUGGAUAUAAAUGCUAUUUUUUAAUAAAUUGAUCAGAACCGAUCGUUCGUUUUUAUUUGAUAUAUUUUUUAAUAAACUGAUUAUAACUAUUCAUAUGGAAUAUUUUUUUUUUUUUAUUUCAUUUGUCAUUGUAGAAAUUUCUAUACGAUUUUAUAUAUAGUAGAGAUAUAAUAGUUCAACUCCUACUAUAUAUAGAGAGAGACGACUAUAAUGGUAUUAAUAGUACAAAGCACUUGGUGCUAUUUUUUUCGCUAUUAAAUCUACUUUCUUAAUCAUUGCCAUCUCUUGGAUCAUAAUAUUCUACCAACUACCCACUAAUANAUAUAUAUAUAUAAUAAUUGGACCAGAAUACUAUUAAUAAUAUUUGGAUUUUUUUACUCUUGAAUUUUUAAUCUUUAAAUAAAAAUUAUAGGGUUUAGAAUGCUACUGGUCUAUUGUACUUAUACGUAUAAUAGCUAGUAUACUCUUAUGAGUAUAGAACCUUUUGUACUUAUAAGUUUUCGGCCGUUGGAUAAAGAAAUAUGCGGUUAUGAUGAUAAUGAUCUUCUGUUAGGAUGAUGGUGGUUCGCUAGGAUUUAGUGCGUAGUUGGUUGAAUAGUACGAUCUAACGGAUGAAAAUGCUCAAAAGAGUAGAUUUAAUCUAAUGGUCGAAAAUUCAUGAGUACAAAGAAAUCUAUCCUCAUAAGUAUAAUUCCCGGACUCCGGAUAAUAAAUAUUGAGCUAGACCGGUGAACUAAUAUGUGCUUAAGACCAUACUAUUAUACUUCUCUAGAAG